UACAGAGGUCUCAAGCGUUGUUCGGAUUCAUUGGGCGUAAAGGGUGCGUAGGCGGCGGGGUAAGUCGGAUGUGAAAUCCCGGGGCUCAACCCCGGAACUGCAUUCGAUACUGCUCUGCUCGAGUACUGGAGAGGAGACUGGAAUUUACGGUGUAGCAGUGAAAUGCGUAGAUAUCGUAAGGAAGACCAGUGGCGAAGGCGAGUCUCUGGACAGUUCCUGACACUGAGGCACGAAGGCUAGGGGAGCAAACGGG
This 253-nucleotide ribosomal RNA is filed under the name uncultured bacterium. RNAcentral describes it as "partial 16S ribosomal RNA". It matches the Rfam family "Bacterial small subunit ribosomal RNA", at positions 524 to 776 of the family's 1533-position model. The record is from RNAcentral.